This 606-nucleotide ribosomal RNA is filed under the name Escherichia coli. Its description in RNAcentral is "partial 23S ribosomal RNA". It matches the Rfam family "Bacterial large subunit ribosomal RNA", at positions 2263 to 2863 of the family's 2925-position model. Lineage: Bacteria; Pseudomonadati; Pseudomonadota; Gammaproteobacteria; Enterobacterales; Enterobacteriaceae. The record is from RNAcentral.
GGGUAGUUUGACUGGGGCGGUCUCCUCCUAAAGAGUAACGGAGGAGCACGAAGGUUGGCUAAUCCUGGUCGGACAUCAGGAGGUUAGUGCAAUGGCAUAAGCCAGCUUGACUGCGAGCGUGACGGCGCGAGCAGGUGCGAAAGCAGGUCAUAGUGAUCCGGUGGUUCUGAAUGGAAGGGCCAUCGCUCAACGGAUAAAAGGUACUCCGGGGAUAACAGGCUGAUACCGCCCAAGAGUUCAUAUCGACGGCGGUGUUUGGCACCUCGAUGUCGGCUCAUCACAUCCUGGGGCUGAAGUAGGUCCCAAGGGUAUGGCUGUUCGCCAUUUAAAGUGGUACGCGAGCUGGGUUUAGAACGUCGUGAGACAGUUCGGUCCCUAUCUGCCGUGGGCGCUGGAGAACUGAGGGGGGCUGCUCCUAGUACGAGAGGACCGGAGUGGACGCAUCACUGGUGUUCGGGUUGUCAUGCCAAUGGCACUGCCCGGUAGCUAAAUGCGGAAGAGAUAAGUGCUGAAAGCAUCUAAGCACGAAACUUGCCCCGAGAUGAGUUCUCCCUGACUCCUUGAGAGUCCUGAAGGAACGUUGAAGACGACGACGUUGAUAGGCCG